AAAACACUCUCGUAAAUUAAAUAUUUCAAUUACGUAUGCGUUGAUGAAAGCAUACUUUAUCUUGAUAUAAAUUUGAUUGCUUUAUCAAGUCUUCCUCCACAGAUUCCUCGUUGCCAUUGUACUGACUCUACUUCAUCUUCUUCUUCGGGGGAAGAACGGGAAGUGGAAGAUGGUAAAAUUGGACAAGUAGGAGAAGAGAAAUCUUUUGGUUGUGGGUUGAGAAAUAAUCCCUCGAAAAGUUUCAGACUUGCUGAUCCUGAGUUUUCUUUUGCUGUAGAAUCUGUGUCUGAUGUUGCUCAAGACAGAGAGUGAGGCCGAGUCAACUCGAGACGAUCUAAAAGAACGAGAGAAAAGAAUGGGUGUGUAUUUGGCUUUUUCAAAAUUAAGGGUGAGUACGUAAUGUCAAAAAACAUUGGGUGAAAACAGUGCUUUGCCCGUGUUUCAAUUCUACUUAGGACUCCCGUGAGCCCCUUCUCCAACUCUAAUGCCUCGUUUCAGGCUAUGGCGAAGCGCCUAAACGACGCCGUACACAAGCUCCAACUCUCGUUACUCGAAGGCGUAUCCACUGAUUACCAGCUCUAUACCACCGGCUCGCUCCUUUCCAACAGCGACUACAACGACGUGGUAACGGAACGAACAAUCGCGAACCUCUGUGGCUACCCGCUCUGCUCGCAUCCCCUGCCGCCGUCGGAUUCUUGAAAACACAAAGGGCGGUACCGCAUCUCGCUGAAGGAGCACAAAGUGUACGACCUCCAGGAGGUGUACUUGUUCUGCUCCACGAGUUGUCUGGUGAACAGUAAGGCAUUCUUGGCGGGUUUGGGGGAGGCGAGGGUUAGGGUUGUGGACGAGAGGACGAUUGAAGAGGUUUUGAAGGUGGUUGGCGCAGAGAGUGCUGUGGAGAGUGAGGUGGUGAGGAAGUUUGGGGAGCUGGAGAUAAGGGAGAAGGAUAGGGGGGAAGGUGAAGUUGGGGAAGUUGGAGCUGGGCCUUCAGAUGCUGUUGAAGGGUUCGUUCCGAAGGCCAAGUAUAAGCCAAAGACGAGAAAGGUCAAAAGGGAAAAGAAUGAAGGAGGAGGUUUGGUUGGAGAAUCUUGAAUGAGGGUCAAGUCCACCAUGUGUGCUCCCUCGACGGACUGCAAAGUUAUAAUUUUUUUCAUUCGUGAUCAAUAUAUAUGAUUAUUUAUAUACUAAUUUUAAAUACUCGAUACUUCAAUCUGGAUGGUCUCAGAAACGUUCUCCUGCAAGUCCUCCUUCAGUGAUCUAAUAUCCGCUGUCAUUUUGCGUGAGCUCGGGAGAUCAGCAAGUAACCAUAGUCGCUCGUCUUGAAAAAAAAAAGACAAAAUAUCAUUAAAUAAACAUUAUAAUUGGGAAGAUAAAUCGAUUAAUGACAUUUCUUAAAAAAACAUAACCUCAACUUCUGGGAAAGGUGUUCAGGGAGAACCCUUGAUCGAUGAAAUCUCAAUGUGGGUUUCCUACACGCAUGAAAAGAAUAAAAUGGUAAAUGAUAUGUAGAUAUAAAAUAUAAUAUCUACAUUAAUUUUCAUACCUCAAGUGGAUGAUUUGAAGCAAUUGAAGAUCCGAUCGAAAGACCUUCAUAAGGAAGACUCUAUACGAAUAUAUAAAAUAAAUUAAUCGAUAACAAAACAAUCAUAAAAAUAAAGUUUCAUUGAUAAGUGAUAUGUCUCAGUUUGAACAGGUGAUGUAAUAGAAGGACCAAUUGGUGUCCUCUCUUGGGGACUACCCUAAGGGAAUAAUAAUAAUAACUUAAUCAGUAACAUUUCAUAUAUAAUAAUAUUAUAAUAUAAUAACAUUUAAUAUUAAAUAUAAUUUUGAAAUUACAUACGGAUCUUAUUUGGCUGAUGGGAUGGUAUUGCUGUAUCAACGGGGGCGAUCGUCUCGAGAUUAUCGUCCAUCUCUUGUACGAAUAUAAUUAUAGUUAUCAGAAUAAUAACGAAAUAUAAUUUUUAUAAGUAAUAAAUUAGAAAUGGUUUGACAACCUGAACGACGGGGGCUGCACAUGUACGCGUGACGAAGUCCUCUAAACGAGUCAUACGAUCUUGUAAUCGAGCCACAUUGUCGCGUAAUUGAGUCAUAUGUAAAUCCACAUCGUUGCAUAAUCAAGUCAUCUAUGAAGACAUCGUCAAAAAAACUUGAAAUCUCACGUAAAAUCGUAGCACCCCAGUGCGCCAAUGUAGCAUCUAAUGUGAAAAUACUAGGUGAUACGGAUGAGGGACACUGCUUGGUGGCAUGAUGGGAAGUACAGUCCUCCAUUCCAGGAUGGUCUGUGGUCAGUGAGCAUUGAACUAUAUGGGAACAUAGAGGCUGCUCUAUAACAGGAGGUUGAAUAGGCUCCUCAUAUGUCUCAAAAGUUUCGAUGGGUAAAUCUGAAGGUCUUGAGGUUGGUGAAGCCUCGUCUCCUGUCGCGAGAGGAAUCGAAGAUGAGGAGGAAUCAACAUCAGGUAAACCGGUGUACUCGCGAAUCUCAGCAUACCAUGGUAAACUCUCCUCCAUCGGUGAUGGACGAAGGGGGAAUGUGACAUCCUCUUAAUGAUUAAAAUAUAUAAGUUAAAAUAAUUACAACAUUCAAUGAAUUAAUUGAUUUAUUAAUUAACGAGUACAUACCGGAUCACCAGUGAAAAUACGACCUAUAUGAGUCCAAUUAAAGACGUUCUAUGUAUAUCACCUAAACAUCCGUGGGGACGCAUAGAUAUCAAUAAGGUCAAUCCAAUCGUAUAAGGUAUCCAGCGUCUUGUAUACCUAAAACUGUAAACCAUUAAUAAUUUAAAUAGAUCAAUUCGUAUUUUUGUCAAUUAAUAUAUAUAGUCAAUAAAUUAAAACUUACCUGAAAUGUGAAAAGAAAUCUGUAUAGGUCGUAUUUACACAUUUUAGGCAUCCGUUCAUAGCACACUCUGUCACUCGCUUAUGACAGACUCGUACGUCAUCUGUCAUACAAGAAUGCCUCAAGGGUAGUUGUUAAACCUGUCUAGAUGAUCGACCAACUGUAAGUAUUCUAUUGAUACUUUCUUUCGUCGAUCAUUCCCUAACAACACCAUGUGAAGAAUAUAUAGCAAGAUCAUCUUGACGGCGUCAAUAUCGUCAUUCCCCCAUGGUUUGACCAAGAAAACACGCUCUAUGUCGUGAUACUGCUUCUUUGGACAAUCUCGAAAGUACAUAUCUCUGAUCCUAUAUCCGAAGGUACAACAUCACGACAUAAAAAAAUCAAUUGAAAAUCUGAAAAUAUGAAUCGAUAUAUUCUGAAAGGGUAAAAGUUGUACUUUCGUUCGAAUGUGCAGUAUCACGACAGAACGAAUUUUCUUGUCUAGGUCGUGGGGGGAUGACGAUAUUGACGCUGUCAAGAUGGCUUUGCUAUGUAUUUUUCACAUGGUGUUGUUAGGGAAUAAGCAACGAAAGAAAGUAUCCACGAAAUACUUACAGUUGGUUGAUCAUCUAGACAGGUUUAACAACUACCCUUGAGGCAUUCUUGUGUGACAGAUGACGUACGAAUCUAUGUCAUAAGCGAGUGACAGAGUGUGCUCCGGACAGAUGCUUGAAAUGCGUAAAUACGAUUCAUACGGAUUUUCUUUCGUAUUUCAGAUAAGUUUUAAUUUAUUGAUUAUAUAUAUAUUAAUUGACAAAAGUACAAAUUGAUUUAUUUAAAUUGUUAAUGGUUUACAGUUUUGGGUAUAUGAGACGCUGAAUACCUUGUACGAUUAGGUUGACCUUAUUGAUAUCUAUGCGUCCCUACGGAUGUUUACAUGGCGUACACGGAACAUUCUUAGUUGGGCUCAUAUAGGUCGUAUUUUCAUUGGUGAUUCGGUAUGUAUUCGUUAAUAAGUCGAUUAAUUCAUUGAAUGUUGUAAUUAUUUUUACAUAUAUAUCUUCAUCAUUAAGAGGAUGUCGCAUUUCCCCUUCAUCCAUCACCGAUGGAGGAAGGUUUACCAUGGUAUGUUGAGAUUCGCGAGUGCACAAGUUUACCCGAUGUUGAUUCCUCCUCAUCAUCUUCGGUUUCUCUCGCGACAGGAGACGAGCUUCUCUAGCCUUAAGACCUUCAGAUUUACCCAUCGAGACUUUUGAGAUAUAUGAGAAGCCUAUUUAACCUCCUGUUAUGGAGCAGUUUCUAUGUCCCCUUAUAAUUCAAAGCUCACUGACCACAGACCAUCUUGGAGUGGAGGCCUGUACUUCUCAUCAUGCCACCGAGCAGUGUCCCCUAUUCGUAUCACUCAGUAUUUUCACAUUAAAUGUUACAUUGGCGUACUGGGGUGUUACGAUUUUACGUGAGUUUUAUUGACGAUAUGUCUUCACAGAUGACUUAGAUUAUGCGACGAUAUGGAUUUACAUAUGACUCGAGUACGCGACGAUGUGGCUCGAUUAUAAGAUCGUAUAACUCGUUUAGAGGACUUUGUCAUGCGUACAUGUGCAGCCCCGUCGUUCAGGUUGUUAAACUAUUUCUAAUUUAUUACUUAUAAAAAUUGUAUUUCGUUAUUAUUCUGAUAACUAUAAUUAUAUUCGUACAGGAGAAGGACGACCUUUUUCAUUGAUACUGUAAUAGCAUCCCGUCAACCAUAUGAGGUCCAUAUGUAAUAACAAAAUUAUAUUUAAUGUUAAAUGUUAUUAUAUUAUAAUAUUUUUAUGUAUGAAAUAUCACUGAUUAAGUUAUUAUUAUUAUUACCUUAGGGUAGUCACCAGGAGGGGGCACCGAUUGACCUUCUGUUACAUCACCUGUCCGAAUUGAGGCAUAUAAUUUACCGAUGAAACUUUAUUUUGAUGAUUGUUUUAUUAUCGAUUAAUUCAUUUUAUAUAUUCGUAUAAGGUCUUCCUUAUGAAGAUCUUUCAAUCAAUCUCUGGUUGCUUCAAAUCAUGCACUUGAGGUAUGAAAAUUAUUGUAGAUAUUAUAUUUUAUAUCUACAUAUCAUUUAUCAUUUUGUGCUUUUUAUGCAUGUAGGGGUCGACAUUGAGAUAUCAUCGAUUGAGGGUUUUCCUGAACACCUACCUUGUAAGUUGAGGUUAUGUUUUUUUUUUAAAUGUUAUUAAUCGAUUUGUCUUUGUAAUUAUAAUGUCUAUUUAAUGAUGUUUUGUUUCUUUUUAGGACGAGCCACUAUGAUUACUUGCUGAUAUCCUAAACUCGAAUAAAAAGACAUUGGAUAUUAGUUCACUGGAGGAGAAUUUUCAGAAGAACGUUUUUGAGACUAUCCAAAUUGAGGUAUCGAAUAUUUAAAAUUAGUAUAUAAAUAUUUAUAUAUAUUGGUCACGAAUGAAUAAAAUUAUAACUUUGCAGUUUGUCGUGGGAGCACAUACGAUGGACUUGACCCUCAUUUAGGAUUCUCCUGCCAAACCUCCUCCCGGAUACAUGGAGAAGGUAACAUUAAUCGAUUAAUGUAUAAUUGUUACGUAGGAUGAAAUAACGAAUUAUUAGUUUCUUGAAACUUUCAGUUGAUUUGUACAGCACACCGUUGGAUCGUUCGGAAGGGUCCGUUAGUUCGCAGCUGGUAUAUAAAUCCACUCAGAGGGAGGGCAAAAUGGUAACUCAAGACCAUUCCAUCCACUGUCUCAGAGCAUGACGACUCUUUCCUUACGUGGUACACCAGAACUGCGGCUUCGGCUUUCGACGCACAUGAUGUUUACUUCAUCGGGUUAAAGUCGAAGGACAGUUUUUGACAGCUUGUGGUAGAUUUGUGUCAGUGGUUGAUCGACAAUCAUGUAGAUUCCUUUUCGGCUAUAUUACGUUGGCAUUAGGACGAUCAUUGUGCGACUGUUGCACAACGUUGGACGACUGUUCACACAUUCUUCGGAGGCCAUAUUCUGAUGCCUAGAAGAGUUGGCAGACCACACCAUAUGAGGAGUUUGAAUUUUUGACAUUUUUCACAAGGAUGGUUGAGGCAGCGUACACCCCGGAGUUGUUUUACAAACCAUAGGGGAUGUGCGAUAAAGUAUAGUAUAUAUGUAUUUUCAUAACAUUUUACGUUGAAUUAGUUGAUAAUCAAUUGUAUUUUGUCACUGUUUAUAGGUUUACAUUCUUAUAAACUUCGAUUGUACACAUUAG
Long non-coding RNA from Mangifera indica (mango), 6037 nucleotides. RefSeq lists it as uncharacterized. The record is from RefSeq and is a predicted model, not a curated record. NCBI's taxonomy places the organism in Eukaryota, Viridiplantae, Streptophyta, Magnoliopsida, Sapindales, Anacardiaceae. The transcript is spliced from 3 exons.